Molecule: ribosomal RNA, 460 nt
Filed under: uncultured bacterium
Lineage: Bacteria
Description: partial 16S ribosomal RNA
Rfam family: Bacterial small subunit ribosomal RNA
Source: RNAcentral
CCUACGGGUGGCAGCAGUGAGGAAUAUUGGUCAAUGGGCGCGAGCCUGAACCAGCCAAGUAGCGUGAAGGAUGACUGCCCUACGGGUUGUAAACUUCUUUUAUAAAGGAAUAAAGUGAGGCACGUGUGCCUUUUUGUAUGUACUUUAUGAAUAAGGCACGGCUAACUCCGUGCCAGCAGCCGCGGGAAUACGGAGGAUCCGAGCGUUAUACGGAUUUCUUGGGGUUAAAGGGAGCGUAGAUGGGUUGUUAAGUCAGUUGUGAAAGUUUGGGGCUCAACCGUAAAAGUGCAAUUGAAACUGGCAGUCUUGAGUACAGGUGAGGUAAGCGGAAUUCGUGGUGUAGCGGUGAAAUGCUUAGAUAUCACGAAGAACGCCGAUUGCGAAGGCAGCUUACUAAACUGCCACUGACAUUGAUGCUCGAAAGUGUGGGUAUCAAACAGGAUUAGAUACCCGAGUAGUC